GUAAACGUUAAAUCCGAUGCCUCGUGCAUGUGGAGAGAGUACCGCGCUCUCUUCACAUUGAGAACCCUAACAACAGCUCUAUGAAUGUACAUUCGUGGCCUGUUGUCAGAUAAACUUUUGUCACUAUCCCAUAUGCUCUCAUUUUCCAAAGGCAAUUCAUCCCGGACCCCAAUAUUACAAAACAUACCUAUCGUUUUUAUUGUGAUUUGUUUUUGUCCUGAACAUGCACGAAAUAUUCACCAAUACAGGGGGGGGGGGGGGGGGGGGUUGUCUCCUCAAACAUUUUUCCUUCUUAACAUCAGUUCAUAAAAUAAAAUCCACAAACAC
RNAcentral lists this long non-coding RNA (327 nucleotides) under Mytilus galloprovincialis (Mediterranean mussel). Lineage: Eukaryota; Metazoa; Mollusca; Bivalvia; Mytilida; Mytilidae. The record is from RNAcentral.